This 535-nucleotide ribosomal RNA is filed under the name uncultured Staphylococcus sp. Its description in RNAcentral is "bacterial SSU rRNA". It matches the Rfam family "Bacterial small subunit ribosomal RNA", at positions 96 to 618 of the family's 1533-position model. The record is from RNAcentral. Lineage: Bacteria; Bacillati; Bacillota; Bacilli; Caryophanales; Staphylococcaceae.
CGGCGGACGGGUGAGUAACACGUGGAUAACCUACCUAUAAGACUGGGAUAACUUCGGGAAACCGGAGCUAAUACCGGAUAAUAUAUUGAACCGCAUGGUUCAAUAGUGAAAGACGGGUUUGCUGUCACUUAUAGAUGGAUCCGCGCCGCAUUAGCUAGUUGGUAAGGUAACGGCUUACCAAGGCAACGAUGCGUAGCCGACCUGAGAGGGUGAUCGGCCACACUGGAACUGAGACACGGUCCAGACUCCUACGGGAGGCAGCAGUAGGGAAUCUUCCGCAAUGGGCGAAAGCCUGACGGAGCAACGCCGCGUGAGUGAUGAAGGUCUUCGGAUCGUAAAACUCUGUUAUUAGGGAAGAACAAAUGUGUAAGUAACUAUGCACGUCUUGACGGUACCUAAUCAGAAAGCCACGGCUAACUACGUGCCAGCAGCCGCGGUAAUACGUAGGUGGCAAGCGUUAUCCGGAAUUAUUGGGCGUAAAGCGCGCGUAGGCGGUUUUUUAAGUCUGAUGUGAAAGCCCACGGCUCAACCGUGG